Molecule: ribosomal RNA, 679 nt
Filed under: Bacillus cereus
Lineage: Bacteria; Bacillati; Bacillota; Bacilli; Caryophanales; Bacillaceae
Description: bacterial SSU rRNA
Rfam family: Bacterial small subunit ribosomal RNA
Source: RNAcentral
AGCGAUGGAUUAAGAGCUUGCUCUUAUGAAGUUAGCGGCGGACGGGUGAGUAACACGUGGGUAACCUGCCCAUAAGACUGGGAUAACUCCGGGAAACCGGGGCUAAUACCGGAUAACAUUUUGAACCGCAUGGUUCGAAAUUGAAAGGCGGCUUCGGCUGUCACUUAUGGAUGGACCCGCGUCGCAUUACCUAGUUGGUGAGGUAACGGCUCACCAAGGCAACGAUGCGUAGCCGACCUGAGAGGGUGAUCGGCCACACUGGGACUGAGACACGGCCCAGACUCCUACGGGAGGCAGCAGUAGGGAAUCUUCCGCAAUGGACGAAAGUCUGACGGAGCAACGCCGCGUGAGUGAUGAAGGCUUUCGGGUCGUAAAACUCUGUUGUUAGGGAAGAACAAGUGCUAGUUGAAUAAGCUGGCACCUUGACGGUACCUAACCAGAAAGCCACGGCUAACUACGUGCCAGCAGCCGCGGUAAUACGUAGGUGGCAAGCGUUAUCCGGAAUUAUUGGGCGUAAAGCGCGCGCAGGUGGUUUCUUAAGUCUGAUGUGAAAGCCCACGGCUCAACCGUGGAGGGUCAUUGGAAACUGGGAGACUUGAGUGCAGAAGAGGAAAGUGUAAUUCCAUGUGUAGCGGUGAAAUGCGUAGAGAUAUGGAGGAACACCAGUGGCGAAGGCGAC